AGAUAGAUAGAUAGAUAGAUAGAUAAAAUUAAAAGAUCGCUUUUGUUGCUAUUUGGAGAAUGAAGGCAGAGGGCUCAUUCAGGGGGCUGAAGCAGUCUUUUAGGCAAUGCCUUGAGGUGGUGGUGGGGAGAGAAAACAUGAAGGGGUUACUCCUAGGUCUUUGUCUUAGGUAAGAUCAUGUAUUUGCUUAACGUGCGGAUAUAUUCAAAGAAAUGCGUUGCUAGGCAAUUUCAUUAUUCAGACAUCACAGAGUGUAGUGAUGUAAACCUAGAUGGUAGAGCCUUCUACACACCUAGGCUACACUAUACAGCCUAUUGUGCUCCUAGGCUGCAAACCUGUACAGCUACAGCAUGGUACUGUACUGAAUGCUGGAGGCAAUUGUACACAAUUGUAAGCAUUUGUGUACCUAAAAGAGACCGAGAUACCUAAAUACCAAAACUAGUGACGCUGUGAGCAGGAUUCGAACCUGCGCGGGGAGACCCCAUUGGAUUUCGAGUCCAACGCCUUAACCACUCGGCCAUCACAGCCGCGUGCGCUGUCGGCCCUGUGCAACUAUAGCUGCCUAUCAACACGCCCGCCUCCAGCCGGCUCCGCCCGGCUCCGCCCGGCUCCACCCGCGCCGCCUAGAGACGUCUGCGCUCGUGCGCCUCUGCUCGGUGGCGCAGACCAUGCCUUCCCUCCAGCAGACGUCAGCAGCCCCAUUGGAGCGGCAGCCUUCCUAUUCUCCCUCUCCUCCCUGAGCAUAGGAUGGAAACAAAACGGGUCCAAAUCCGA
RNAcentral lists this transfer RNA (774 nucleotides) under Homo sapiens (human). RNAcentral describes it as "HSALNT0388346". Lineage: Eukaryota; Metazoa; Chordata; Mammalia; Primates; Hominidae. The record is from RNAcentral.